Molecule: ribosomal RNA, 460 nt
Filed under: uncultured bacterium
Lineage: Bacteria
Description: partial 16S ribosomal RNA
Rfam family: Bacterial small subunit ribosomal RNA
Source: RNAcentral
CCUACGGGUGGCUGCAGUGAGGAAUAUUGGUCAAUGGACGCAAGUCUGAACCAGCCAUGCAGCGUGAAGGAUGACGGCUCUAUGAGUUGUAAACUUCUUUUAUAAGGGGAUAAACCCAGAUACGUGUAUCGGGUUGAAAGUAUCUUACGAAUAAGGAUCGGCUAACUCCGUGCCAGCAGCCGCGGUAAUACGGAGGAUCCGAGCGUUAUCCGGAUUUAUUGGGUUUAAAGGGUGCGUAGUUGGGUUGAUAAGUUAGAGGUGAAAUGUCGGGGCUCAACCCCGAAACUGCCUCUGAUACUGUUGGACUUGAGAAUAGUUGCGGUAAGCGGAAUGCAUGGUGUAGCGGUGAAAUGCUUAGAGAUCAUACAGAACACCGAUUGCGAAGGCAGCUUACCAAACUAUAUCUGACGUUGAGGCACGAAAGCGUGGGUAGCAAACAGGAUUAGAUACCCGAGUAGUC